GAUGAACGCUGGCGGCGUGCCUAUUACAUGCAAGUCGAGCGAAUGGAUCAAGAGCUUGCUCUUAUGAAGUUAGCGGCGGACGGGUGAGUGACACGUGGGUAACCUGCCCAUAAGACUGGGAUAACUCCGGGAAACCGGGGCUAAUACCGGAUAACAUUUUGAACCGCAUGGUUCGAAAUUGAAAGGCGGCUUCGGCUGUCACUUAUGGAUGGACCCGCGUCGCAUUAGCUAGUUGGUGAGGUAACGGCUCACCAAGGCAACGAUGCGUAGCCGACCUGAGAGGGUGAUCGGCCACACUGGGACUGAGACACGGCCCAGACUCCUACGGGAGGCAGCAGUAGGGAAUCUUCCGCAAUGGACGAAAGUCUGACGGAGCAACGCCGCGUGAGUGAUGAAGGCUUUCGGGUCGUAAAACUCUGUUGUUAGGGAAGAACAAGUGCUAGUUGAAUAAGCUGGCACCUUGACGGUACCUAACCAGAAAGCCACGGCUAACUACGUGCCAGCCGCCGCAGUAA
RNAcentral lists this ribosomal RNA (515 nucleotides) under uncultured bacterium. RNAcentral describes it as "partial 16S ribosomal RNA". It matches the Rfam family "Bacterial small subunit ribosomal RNA", at positions 28 to 523 of the family's 1533-position model. The record is from RNAcentral.